This is a non-coding RNA of Schistosoma mattheei, 45 nucleotides long. The record is from Rfam. Lineage: Eukaryota; Metazoa; Platyhelminthes; Trematoda; Strigeidida; Schistosomatidae.
AUCCAGCUGUCGAGUCCCAAAUAAAACGAAGCACGCGUUCUGGAU